RNAcentral lists this ribosomal RNA (292 nucleotides) under uncultured bacterium. Its description in RNAcentral is "partial 16S ribosomal RNA". It matches the Rfam family "Bacterial small subunit ribosomal RNA", at positions 505 to 796 of the family's 1533-position model. The record is from RNAcentral.
GUGCCAGCAGCCGCGGUAAUACGUACCGUCCAAACGUUAUUCGGAAUUACUGGGCUUAAAGGGUACGUAGGCGGCGCUGUCAGUCGGGUGUGAAAUCCCAGGGCUCAACCCUGGAACUGCGCCCGAUACUGCAGUGCUUGAGGGAGACAGAGGUAAGCGGAACUGAUGGUGGAGCGGUGAAAUGCGUUGAUAUCAUCAGGAACACCAGUGGCGAAAGCGGCUUACUGGGUCUCUUCUGACGCUGAGGUACGAAAGCUAGGGGAGCGAAGGGGAUUAGAAACCCGCGUAGUCC